AUGUGGCCAGUGUCACAAAAUCCUAGGCCUGUAGCACCUGAUUAUGUGAGGAUGAAAAUGCCAGGAAGGCCAAGAAAGAAUGAUAGGAAGAGAGAAGAACAGGAGAAACCAAAGGGGAAGAAAAUGAGCAAGCAUGGCAUCAUUAUGAAGUGUUCCAUGUGUGGAAAUCCAGGACAUAACAAGUCAGGAUGCAAGAAGAAUCCUGAGAAAGGCAAGAGGAAGAAUGCACAUCUAGCAAAGAAAAUGAAGAAAACAUUUGAGGUAUUACAUUGUAUUAUAUUUCUCCCUGAUUUAAUUGAUUUUCCAUUAUGA
RNAcentral lists this ribosomal RNA (312 nucleotides) under Triticum aestivum (bread wheat). Its description in RNAcentral is "partial small subunit ribosomal RNA". Lineage: Eukaryota; Viridiplantae; Streptophyta; Magnoliopsida; Poales; Poaceae. The record is from RNAcentral.